Molecule: ribosomal RNA, 484 nt
Filed under: uncultured bacterium
Lineage: Bacteria
Description: partial 16S ribosomal RNA
Rfam family: Bacterial small subunit ribosomal RNA
Source: RNAcentral
AUUGAACGCUGGCGGCAUGCUUUACACAUGCAAGUCGAACGGCAGCGCGGGCUUCGGCCUGGCGGCGAGUGGCGAACGGGUGAGUAAUACAUCGGAACGUGCCCAGUAGUGGGGGAUAGCUCGGCGAAAGCCGGAUUAAUACCGCAUACGACCUGAGGGUGAAAGCGGGGGAUCUUCGGACCUCGCGCUAUUGGAGCGGCCGAUGGCAGAUUAGCUAGUUGGUGGGGUAAAGGCCUACCAAGGCGACGAUCUGUAGCUGGUCUGAGAGGACGACCAGCCACACUGGGACUGAGACACGGCCCAGGCUCCUACGGGAGGCAGCAGUGGGGAAUUUUGGACAAUGGGCGAAAGCCUGAUCCAGCAAUGCCGCGUGUGUGAUGAAGGCCUUCGGGUUGUAAAGCACUUUUGGCGGGAACGAAAAGGACUGUGCCAAUACCACGGUUCGAUGACGGUACCCGAAGAAUAAGCACCGGCUAACUACGUG